Molecule: ribosomal RNA, 497 nt
Filed under: uncultured bacterium
Lineage: Bacteria
Description: partial 16S ribosomal RNA
Rfam family: Bacterial small subunit ribosomal RNA
Source: RNAcentral
GAUGAACGCUGGCGGCGUGCCUAAUACAUGCAAGUCGAGCGAACGGACGAGACGCUUGCUUCUCUUAUGUUAGCGGCGGACGGGUGAGUAACACGUGGAUAACCUACCUAUAAGACUGGGAUAACUUCGGGAAACCGGAGCUAAUACCGGAUAAUAUUUUGAACCGCAUGGUUCAUAAGUGCAAGACGGUCUUGCUGUCACUUAUAGAUGUAUCCUGGUUGCAUUAGCUAGUUGGUACGGUAACGGCUUACCAAGGCUACGAUGCGUAGCUGACCUGAGAGGAUGAUCAGCCACACUGGAACUGAGACAAGGUCCAGACUCCUACGGGAGGCAGCAGUAGGGAAUAUUGGGCAAUGGGAGAAAGCCUGACGGAGCAACACCGCGUGAGUGAAGAAGGUCUUCGGAUCGUAAAGCACUGUUAUUAGGGAAGAACAGAUGUAUAAGAAAAUCUGCAUAUCUUGACGGUACCUAAAGAAUAAGCAACGGCUAACUACGUG